GGUGAACGCUGGCGGCGUGCCUAAGGCAUGCAAGUCGAACGACCCCGGUCGCAAGAUCGGGGAGUGGCGGACGGGUGAGUAACGCGUGAGAACGUACCCCUUAGUGAGGAAUAACCCCGCGAAAGCGGGGCUAAUACCGCAUACGAUCGUAAGAUCAAAGGAUGUAACUAUCCGCUAAAGGAGCGGCUCGCGUCCCAUCAGCUUGUUGGUAGGGUAAUGGCCUACCAAGGCUAUGACGGGUAGCUGGACUGAGAGGUUGAACAGCCACAAGGGCACUGAGACACGGGCCCUACUCCUACGGGAGGCAG
Molecule: ribosomal RNA, 308 nt
Filed under: uncultured Microgenomates group bacterium
Lineage: Bacteria
Description: bacterial SSU rRNA
Rfam family: Bacterial small subunit ribosomal RNA
Source: RNAcentral